This 738-nucleotide ribosomal RNA is filed under the name Lactiplantibacillus plantarum. RNAcentral's name for it is "bacterial SSU rRNA". It matches the Rfam family "Bacterial small subunit ribosomal RNA", at positions 70 to 774 of the family's 1533-position model. Lineage: Bacteria; Bacillati; Bacillota; Bacilli; Lactobacillales; Lactobacillaceae. The record is from RNAcentral.
CUCUGGUAUUGAUUGGUGCUUGCAUCAUGAUUUACAUUUGAGUGAGUGGCGAACUGGUGAGUAACACGUGGGAAACCUGCCCAGAAGCGGGGGAUAACACCUGGAAACAGAUGCUAAUACCGCAUAACAACUUGGACCGCAUGGUCCGAGUUUGAAAGAUGGCUUCGGCUAUCACUUUUGGAUGGUCCCGCGGCGUAUUAGCUAGAUGGUGGGGUAACGGCUCACCAUGGCAAUGAUACGUAGCCGACCUGAGAGGGUAAUCGGCCACAUUGGGACUGAGACACGGCCCAAACUCCUACGGGAGGCAGCAGUAGGGAAUCUUCCACAAUGGACGAAAGUCUGAUGGAGCAACGCCGCGUGAGUGAAGAAGGGUUUCGGCUCGUAAAACUCUGUUGUUAAAGAAGAACAUAUCUGAGAGUAACUGUUCAGGUAUUGACGGUAUUUAACCAGAAAGCCACGGCUAACUACGUGCCAGCAGCCGCGGUAAUACGUAGGUGGCAAGCGUUGUCCGGAUUUAUUGGGCGUAAAGCGAGCGCAGGCGGUUUUUUAAGUCUGAUGUGAAAGCCUUCGGCUCAACCGAAGAAGUGCAUCGGAAACUGGGAAACUUGAGUGCAGAAGAGGACAGUGGAACUCCAUGUGUAGCGGUGAAAUGCGUAGAUAUAUGGAAGAACACCAGUGGCGAAGGCGGCUGUCUGGUCUGUAACUGACGCUGAGGCUCGAAAGUAUGGGUAGCAAACA